GCCACAUCAUGUUGAAACACCAGUUCCCGUACGAUCACAGAAGUUAAGCAACGUCGAUCCUGGUCAGUACCUAGAUGGAUGACCACUUGGGAAUACCAGGUUCUGU
Molecule: non-coding RNA, 106 nt
Organism: Acanthosepion pharaonis
Lineage: Eukaryota; Metazoa; Mollusca; Cephalopoda; Sepiida; Sepiidae
Source: the annotation of a GenBank genome assembly